GGCGAACGCUGGCGGCGUGCUUAACACAUGCAAGUCGAACGGAAAGGCCCUGCUUUUGUGGGGUGCUCGAGUGGCGAACGGGUGAGUAACACGUGAGUAACCUGCCCUUGACUUUGGGAUAACUUCAGGAAACUGGGGCUAAUACCGGAUAGGAGCUCCUGCUGCAUGGUGGGGGUUGGAAAGUUUCGGCGGUUGGGGAUGGACUCGCGGCUUAUCAGCUUGUUGGUGGGGUAGUGGCUUACCAAGGCUUUGACGGGUAGCCGGCCUGAGAGGGUGACCGGCCAAAUUGGAACGAGGAUACGGCCCAGACUCUUACGGGAGGAAGCGGUGGGGAAUAUUGCACAAUGGGCGGAGGCCUGAUGCAGCACCGCCGCGUGGGGGAUGACGGCCUUCGGGUUGUAACCGCUUUCGCCUGUGACGAAGCGUGAGUGACGGUAAUGGGUAAAGAAGCACCGGCUAACUACGUG
Molecule: ribosomal RNA, 467 nt
Filed under: uncultured bacterium
Lineage: Bacteria
Description: partial 16S ribosomal RNA
Rfam family: Bacterial small subunit ribosomal RNA
Source: RNAcentral